This 484-nucleotide ribosomal RNA is filed under the name uncultured bacterium. RNAcentral's name for it is "partial 16S ribosomal RNA". It matches the Rfam family "Bacterial small subunit ribosomal RNA", at positions 30 to 507 of the family's 1533-position model. The record is from RNAcentral.
AUUGAACGCUUGCGGCAGGCCUAACACAUGCCAGUCGAGCGGAUGAAGGGAGCUUGCUCCUGGAUUCAGCGGCGGACGGGUGAGUAAUGCCUAGGAAUCUGCCUGGUAGUGGGGGAUAACGUCCGGAAACGGGCGCUAAUACCGCAUACGUCCUGAGGGAGAAAGUGGGGGAUCUUCGGACCUCACGCUAUCAGAUGAGCCUAGGUCGGAUUAGCUAGUUGGUGGGGUAAAGGCCUACCAAGGCGACGAUCCGUAACUGGUCUGAGAAGAUGAUCAGUCACACUGGAACUGAGACACGGUCCAGACUCCUACGGGAGGCAGCAGUGGGGAAUAUUGGACAAUGGGCGAAAGCCUGAUCCAGCCAUGCCGCGUGUGUGAAGAAGGUCUUCGGAUUGUAAAGCACUUUAAGUUGGGAGGAAGGGCAGUAAGUUAAUACCUUGCUGUUUUGACGUUACCAACAGAAUAAGCACCGGCUAACUUCGUG